ACGAACGCUGGCGGCAUGCCUCACACAUGCAAGUCGAACGCGACCUUCGGGUCUAGUGGCGCCCGGGUGCGUAACGCGUGGGAACCUGCCCUUAGGUUCGGAAUAACUCCCCGAAAGGGGUGCUAAUACCGGAUAAUGUCUUCGGACCAAAGAUUUAUCGCCUUUGGAUGGGCCCGCGUUGGAUUAGCUAGUUGGUAGGGUAAAAGCCUACCAAGGCGACGAUCCAUAGCUGGUCUGAGAGGAUGAUCAGCCACACUGGGACUGAGACACGGCCCAGACUCCUACGGGAGGCAGCAGUGGGGAAUAUUGGACAAUGGGCGAAAGCCUGAUCCAGCAAUGCCGCGUGAGUGAUGAAGGCCUUAGGGUUGUAAAGCUCUUUUACCCGGGAUGAUAAUGACAGUACCGGGAGAAUAAGCUCCGGCUAACUCCGUG
RNAcentral lists this ribosomal RNA (432 nucleotides) under uncultured bacterium. RNAcentral's name for it is "partial 16S ribosomal RNA". It matches the Rfam family "Bacterial small subunit ribosomal RNA", at positions 29 to 507 of the family's 1533-position model. The record is from RNAcentral.